CCAGACUUGGACUUGGUUAAUCAUCUGGGGUUCUCCCCAGUGCACUUUUCCAGUUCAGGCCAGCAUCAGUUUGGGCGGUUGGAUAAAGGUCUCUGUCAUGUACCUCUCUUCGGGGAGAACUUAUAGGGGAGACGACAUGCAACCAGCCUGGACUGAGGUCCGCGCAUCUGCUAGGAUGCUGGCGUAAUGGCUGUAAGCGG
This 200-nucleotide ribosomal RNA is filed under the name Didymellaceae sp. RNAcentral describes it as "partial large subunit ribosomal RNA". The record is from RNAcentral. Lineage: Eukaryota; Fungi; Ascomycota; Dothideomycetes; Pleosporales; Didymellaceae.